CCUACGGGUGGCUGCAGUGGGGAAUAUUGGACAAUGGGCGCAAGCCUGAUCCAGCCAUGCCGCGUGGGUGAAGAAGGCCUUCGGGUUGUAAAGCCCUUUUGUUGGGAAAGAAAAGCAGCCGGCCAAUACCCGGUUGUUCUGACGGUACCCAAAGAAUAAGCACCGGCUAACUUCGUGCCAGCAGCCGCGGUAAUACGAAGGGUGCAAGCGUUACUCGGAAUUACGGGGCGGAAAGCGUAAGUCCGUGGUGAAAGCCCUGGGCUCAACCUGGGAACUGCAGUGGAUACUGGAUCACUAGAGUGUGGCAGAGGGUAGUGGAAUUCCCGGUGUAGCAGUGAAAUGCGUAGAGAUCGGGAGGAACAUCAGUGGCGAAGGCGACUGCCUGGGCCAACACUGACACUGAGGCACGAAAGCGUGGGGAGCAAACAGGAUUAGAUACCCUUGUAGUC
Molecule: ribosomal RNA, 449 nt
Filed under: uncultured bacterium
Lineage: Bacteria
Description: partial 16S ribosomal RNA
Rfam family: Bacterial small subunit ribosomal RNA
Source: RNAcentral